Molecule: ribosomal RNA, 869 nt
Filed under: uncultured fungus
Lineage: Eukaryota; Fungi
Description: SSU rRNA
Rfam family: Eukaryotic small subunit ribosomal RNA
Source: RNAcentral
GUGCCAGCAGCCGCGGUAAUUUAGCUCCAAUAGCGUAUAUUAAAGUUGUUGUGGUUAAAAAGCUCGAAGGUGAACCUUGGGCCUGGCUGGCCGGUCCGCCUCACCGCGUGCACUGGUCCGGCCGGGCCUUUCCCUUUCUGGGACCCCAUACCCUUCACUGGGCGUGGCGGGGAAACAGGACAUUUACUUUGAAAAAAUUAGAGUGCUCCAGGCAGGCCUAUGCUCGAAUACAUUAGCAUGGAAUAAUAAAAUAGGACGCGCGGUUCUAUUUUGUUGGUUUAUAGGACCGCCGUAAUGAUUAAUAGGGACAGUCGGGGGCAUCAGUAUUCAACUGUCAGAGGUGAAAUUCUUGGAUCAGUUGAAGACUAACUACUGCGAAAGCAUUUGCCAAGGAUGUUUUCAUUAAUCAGGAACGAAAGUUAGGGGAUCGAAGACGAUCAGAUACCGUCGUAGUCUUAACCAUAAACUAUGCCGACUAGGGAUCGGACGGUGUUAUUCAUGACCCGUUUCGGCACCUUACGAGAAAUCAAAGUGCUUUGGGCUCCAGGGGGAGUAUGGUCGCAAGGCUGAAACUUUAAAGAAAUUUGACGGAAGGGCACCACCAGGGGUGGAAGCCUGCGGCUUAAUUUUGACUCAACACGGGGAAACUCACCAGGUCCAGACACAAAUAAGGAUUGACAGAAUUGAGAGCUUCUUUUCUUUGAUUUUGUGGGGUGGUGGGUGCAUGGCCCGUUCUUAGAUGGUGGGGGUGGACUAUGUCUUGCUUUAUUUGCGAUAACGAAACGAGACUUUAACUGCUAAAAUAGCCGCAUUUGCUUCCGGGCAGUGCGCUUGGCUUUCUUAAGAGAGGAACUUUCGGCUCAAGCCGA